This 853-nucleotide ribosomal RNA is filed under the name uncultured bacterium. RNAcentral's name for it is "bacterial SSU rRNA". It matches the Rfam family "Bacterial small subunit ribosomal RNA", at positions 45 to 887 of the family's 1533-position model. The record is from RNAcentral.
UGCUUAACACAUGCAAGUCGAACGGUAACAUUACUAGCUUGCUAGUAGAUGACGAGUGGCGGACGGGUGAGUAACGCGUAGGGAUCUGCCUUGGUGUGGGGGAUAGCCCGGAGAAAUUCGGAUUAAUACCGCAUACGCCCCAUGGGGGAAAGAGUGCCACUUCAUGAAAGCAUUCGCACCGAGAUGAACCUGCGUUGGAUUAGCUAGUUGGUAGGGUAAAGGCCUACCAAGGCGACGAUCCAUAGCUGGUCUGAGAGGAUGAUCAGCCACACUGGGACUGAGACACGGCCCAGACUCCUACGGGAGGCAGCAGUGGGGAAUAUUGCACAAUGGGCGCAAGCCUGAUGCAGCAAUACCGCGUGUGUGAAGAAGGCCUGAGGGUUGUAAAGCACUUUCAGUGGGGAGGAAAAGCAGCGUGUUAAUAGCACGAUGCCGUGACGUUACCCACAGAAGAAGGACCGGCUAACUCCGUGCCAGCAGCCGCGGUAAUACGGAGGGUCCAAGCGUUAAUCGGAAUUACUGGGCGUAAAGCGUGCGUAGGUGGCCAUUUAAGUCGGAUGUGAAAGCCCAGGGCUCAACCUUGGAACUGCAUACGAUACUGGGUGGCUAGAGUGUAAUAGAGGGUAGUGGAAUUUCCGGUGUAGCGGUGAAAUGCGUAGAGAUCGGAAGGAACAUCAGUGGCGAAGGCGACUACCUGGAUUAACACUGACACUGAGGCACGAAAGCGUGGGUAGCAAACAGGAUUAGAUACCCUGGUAGUCCACGCCGUAAACGAUGUCAACUAGCCGUUGGAAGACUUGAUCUUUUAGUGGCGCAGCUAACGCGAUAAGUUGACCGCCUGGGGAGUACGGUC